UACAGAGGUGGCAAGCGUUGUUCGGAAUUACUGGGCGUAAAGGGCGCGUAGGCGGUUUCGUAAGUCCUGUGUGAAAUCCCCCGGCUCAACUGGGGAACUGCACAGGAAACUGCGAGGCUUGAGUUCGGGAGAGGGAAGCGGAAUUCCGGGUGUAGCGGUGAAAUGCGUAGAUAUCCGGAGGAACACCGGUGGCGAAGGCGGCUCCUGGACCGACACUGACGCUGAGGCGCGAAAGCCAGGGGAG
RNAcentral lists this ribosomal RNA (244 nucleotides) under uncultured bacterium. Its description in RNAcentral is "partial 16S ribosomal RNA". It matches the Rfam family "Bacterial small subunit ribosomal RNA", at positions 524 to 768 of the family's 1533-position model. The record is from RNAcentral.